UCCUACGGGAGGCAGCAGUGGGGAAUAUUGCACAAUGGGCGCAAGCCUGAUGCAGCGACGCCGCGUGAGGGAUGGAGGCCUUCGGGUUGUAAACCUCUUUUGUUUGGGAGCAAGCCUUCGGGUGAGUGUACCUUUCGAAUAAGCACCGGCUAACUACGUGCCAGCAGCCGCGGUAAUACGUAGGGUGCAAGCGUUAUCCGGAAUUAUUGGGCGUAAAGGGCUCGUAGGCGGUUCGUCGCGUCCGGUGUGAAAGUCCAUCGCUUAACGGUGGAUCUGCGCCGGGUACGGGCGGGCUGGAGUGCGGUAGGGGAGACUGGAAUUCCCGGUGUAACGGUGGAAUGUGUAGAUAUCGGGAAGAACACCAAUGGCGAAGGCAGGUCUCUGGGCCGUUACUGACGCUGAGGAGCGAAAGCGUGGGGAGCGAACAGGAUUAGAUACCCUGGUAGUCCACGCCGUAAACGGUGGAUGCUGGAUGUGGGGCCCGUUCCACGGGUUCCGUGUCGGAGCUAACGCGUUAAGCAUCCCGCCUGGGGAGUACGGCCGCAAGGCUAAAACUCAAAGAAAUUGACGGGGGCCCGCACAAGCGGCGGAGCAUGCGGAUUAAUUCGAUGCAACGCGAAGAACCUUACCUGGGCUUGACAUGUUCCCGACAGCCGUAGAGAUAUGGCCUCCCUUCGGGGCGGGUUCACAGGUGGUGCAUGGUCGUCGUCAGCUCGUGUCGUGAGAUGUUGGGUUAAGUCCCGCAACGAGCGCAACCCUCGCCCUGUGUUGCCAGCACGUCAUGGUGGGAACUCACGGGGGACCGCCGGGGUCAACUCGGAGGAAGGUGGGGAUGACGUCAGAUCAUCAUGCCCCUUACGUCCAGGGCUUCACGCAUGCUACAAUGGCCGGUACAACGGGAUGCGACACGGCGACGUGGAGCGGAUCCCUGAAAACCGGUCUCAGUUCGGAUUGGAGUCUGCAACCCGACUCCAUGAAGGCGGAGUCGCUAGUAAUCGCGGAUCAGCAACGCCGCGGUGAAUGCGUUCCCGGGCCUUGUACACACCGCCCGUCAAGUCAUGAAAGUGGGUAGCACCCGAAGCCGGUGGCCUAACCCUUUGUGGAUGGAGCCGUCUAAGGUGAGACUCGUGAUUGGGACUAAGUCGUAACAAGGUAGCCGUACCGGAAGGUGCGGCUG
RNAcentral lists this ribosomal RNA (1177 nucleotides) under uncultured bacterium. RNAcentral's name for it is "bacterial SSU rRNA". It matches the Rfam family "Bacterial small subunit ribosomal RNA", at positions 337 to 1520 of the family's 1533-position model. The record is from RNAcentral.